UACAGAGGGUGCGAACGUUGCUCGGAAUCACUGGGCGUAAAGCGCGUGUAGGCGGAUCGGCAAGUCAGAUGUGAAAGCCCCGGGCUCAACCUGGGAAUUGCAUCUGAAACUGCCGGUCUUGAGUGUCGGAGAGGGUAGCGGAAUUCUGGGUGUAGAGGUGAAAUUCGUAGAUAUCCAGAGGAACACCGGUGGCGAAGGCGGCUACCUGGACGACUACUGACGCUGAGACGCGAAAGCGUGGGGAGCAAACAGG
This 253-nucleotide unclassified non-coding RNA is filed under the name uncultured Sandaracinaceae bacterium. RNAcentral's name for it is "contains 16S-23S intergenic spacer region". It matches the Rfam family "Bacterial small subunit ribosomal RNA", at positions 524 to 776 of the family's 1533-position model. Lineage: Bacteria; Pseudomonadati; Myxococcota; Polyangiales; Sandaracinaceae. The record is from RNAcentral.